CGGAAAUAGGAGUAUGACCGGUCAACGAUGGCGGCCGUAUUUCUAGCCCCUGUAUCUCAAAUUGAACCCAAAAAAAAAAUUGCCCCUGAUCUAUUCAUCUAUAAUUCCGAUCGGGCAUUAUGACAAAGUAGACGUGUAGGCCGCUAGAGUGUACAUCGACAUUUUCCGCAUGUACACUCAACCCUGUACUUUCUGGGUGGGCUAAGCCCCGAAUGUAUUGUGGUCCUAGCGACGCCUCUGGGUGAGACUAUGGGAAAGAUGUGGCUUGACAGCAACGUACCAAGCGUAAAGAGCUGAGUUUCCAGGCUGAGGAUGUGAAAGGAAGCGGACAGGAAGAGAAGGGAAGAGGAAGGGCAAGAGCCUGAGAAAACAGAUUGAGAGGCAGAUAGCCAGAGGGACAAUUCACCACUCAUUCCAGCCCUGCAGAAGAAAUUGGACAAGCAUCUAACUCCCAGACCUCCCAGUGCUGCCAGUCAGUUCUCAUCCAGGGCCCUGUCUGAGGGUCCCGGAAUUGGAGCGGAUCGGGAGCCUGUGGUGGCUGCUAGGAGGAUUCAGGAGAAAAAGGAACUGCAUAUAGUAAAUGUGGAUAAAGUGGAGACUUACCUUGAGACAUCUGAGUCGGAGCCCCAACAGGGACUCCUGGUUGCUGCUGCCCCGGGUUUCCCGAUGACGCUUCCUCCGGUUCCAUCUUCUCCUCUUGGAUCACAUCAGGAGAAGGUAGGGGGGUUGGUUCAGGCAGAUGUUGAUUUGGAUACCCUUUCUUCCACUACAAUUAUUAUUCUACCAGGUAAGGAGCCUAGAUCUGUUUGUCAUGAACCAAUUAGACAUCCAAAUUCCACCAAUAAACUUUAUGACUGGGUACUUACCAUUAGAAAACCCAUUGUUAUAAUGGGAGAAUUGAAUAUUUCAAGGAAACCUCAGUUUGCUGAUCUCAGAGUACAGGCAGAUAGCUUCCCGGGGGCUACUUUCCACCAUCUGAAAGGAGUAAUUGAAACCUUACAAGAACAUCCAGAGGUGGAAAAGGUGGUGCUUUCAGGGGGUUUGAAUAAUUGUCUUUCUAAGCAGUUACCAUUGACUGCUUGGAAACAAUUACAACAGCUCUUAAAGAUGGCGGAAAAUUUCCUAAUGCCUUGCUUUAUGUACCAAUUAUCAAUUAUUCAGAUAGAUUGGAGAAACAGCAACAACUAUUGUUGGAACAACUAAAUCAAAAGAUAUUGGAGAGAUGCAACUCCUUGCCUGAGAUCAGCAAACUGAGGUUCCAUACACUCCCAAGAGAUCCGGUUCAUUGGACACCUGAAACAGGGAAUCUUAUAUUAAACUCAUGGCUUG
This is a long non-coding RNA of Esox lucius (northern pike), 1329 nucleotides long. The record is from Ensembl. Lineage: Eukaryota; Metazoa; Chordata; Actinopteri; Esociformes; Esocidae.